GAUGAAGAACGUAGCGAAAUGCGAUAAGUAAUGCGAAUUGCAGAAUUCAGUGAGUCAUCGAAUCUUUGAACGCACAUUGCGCCCCUUGGUAUUCCGGGGGCAUGCCUGUUCGAGCGUCAUUUCAACCCUCAAGCUCUGCUUGGUAUUGGGCUCCGUCCUCCUCGGACGCGCCUCAAAGACCUCGGCGGUGGCGUCUUGCCUCAAGCGUAGUAGAAACACCUCGCUUUGGAGUGCAUGGCGUCGCCCGCCGGACGAAACCUUUUGUAUUUUCUCAAAGGUUGACCUCGGAUCAGGUAGGGAUACCCGCUGAACUUAAGCAUAUCAAUAAGCGGAGGA
Molecule: unclassified non-coding RNA, 336 nt
Filed under: soil metagenome
Description: partial contains 5.8S ribosomal RNA, internal transcribed spacer 2, and large subunit ribosomal RNA
Rfam family: 5.8S ribosomal RNA (bases 1-119)
Source: RNAcentral